AGCACUUUACACCACUCAUCCCAGGAGCCCUGCCUCCAGCCAGCAGCAGUCCUGGGUCCUGAUGCUGCCAUGGGCUCCAGGCUCCUCUGUUGUGUGACUCUCUGCCUCCUGGGAGCAGCUCUGGUGGAUUCUGGGGUCACCCAGACCCCCAAAUAUCUGAUCAAAUCAAGAAAGCAGCAAGUGAUACUGAGAUGUUCCCCUGAGUCUGGACACCUCUCUGUAUACUGGUACCAACAGGCCCUGGGCCAGGGCCCCCAGUUCCUUGUUCGGUAUUAUAAUGGGCGAGAGAAUGAGAAAGGAAACAUGCCAGAUCGAUUCUCAGGUGAACAGUUCGGUGACUCUAGCUCUCAGAUGAAUCUGAGCUCCUUGGAGCUGACAGACUCAGCCGUGUAUCUCUGUGCCAGCAGCAAGACACAGCCCUGCAUGAUCAGGUGCCUCUGGGACAAAAACACUUCUGCCCUAGCUCAGGAAGUGGCUGUGAGGGUGACUGCCUCGCUUCCAGGCCUAGAUAGAUCCGAUAGACUCUCCCAGAAAUUCUUUCUCUGCUCUGUUUUAAUGCUCCCAAAGAUCAUGCUAGGUAAAUAUUAUUUUACCUGUUUAUACAUCUGAGGGGAACUGACUUGUCCACAUCUUAUAUGUCACUGCUUUCAGAGCAAGGAAUUUGAUUCAAGCCUGUCCUCAUCACUUUUGGUCUUUGCCC
Non-coding RNA from Bubalus bubalis (water buffalo), 700 nucleotides. The record is from the annotation of a RefSeq genome assembly. NCBI's taxonomy places the organism in Eukaryota, Metazoa, Chordata, Mammalia, Artiodactyla, Bovidae.